GAUGAACGCUGGCGGCGUGCCUAAUACAUGCAAGUCGAGCGAACAGACGAGGAGCUUGCUCCUCUGACGUUAGCGGCGGACGGGUGAGUAACACGUGGAUAACCUACCUAUAAGACUGGGAUAACUUCGGGAAACCGGAGCUAAUACCGGAUAAUAUAUUGCACCGCAUGGUUCAAUAGUGAAAGACGGUUUUGCUGUCACUUAUAGAUGGAUCCGCGCGGCAUUAGCUAGUUGGUAAGGUAACGGCUUACCAAGGCAACGAUGCGUACCCGACCUGAGAGGGUGAUCGGCCACACUAGAACUGAAACACGGUCCAGACUCCUACGGGAGGCAGCAGUAGGGAAUCUUCCGCAAUGGGCGAAAGCCUGACGGAGCAACGCCGCGUGAGUGAUGAAGGUCUUCGGAUCGUAAAACUCUGUUAUUAGGGAAGAACAAAUGUGUAAGUAACUAUGCACGUCUUGACGGUACCUAAUCAGAAAGCCACGGCUAACUACGUG
Molecule: ribosomal RNA, 497 nt
Filed under: uncultured bacterium
Lineage: Bacteria
Description: partial 16S ribosomal RNA
Rfam family: Bacterial small subunit ribosomal RNA
Source: RNAcentral